GACGGACGCUGGCGGCGUGCUUAACACAUGCCAGUCGAACGGAAAGGCCCUGCUUUUGUGGGGUGCUCGAGUGGCGAACGGGUGAGUAACACGUGAGUAACCUGCCCUUGACUUUGGGAUAACUUCAGGAAACUGGGGCUAAUACCGUAUAGGAGCUCCUGCUGCAUGGUGGGGGUUGGAAAGUUUCGGCGGUUGGGGAUGGACUCGCGGCUUAUCAGCUUGUUGGUGGGGUAGUGGCUUACCAAGGCUUUGACGGGUAGCCGGCCUGAGAGGGUGACCGGCCACAUUGGGACUGAGAUACGGCCCAGACUCCUACGGGAGGCAGCAGUGGGGAAUAUUGCACAAUGGGCGGAAGCCUGAUGCAGCAACGCCGCGUGCGGGAUGGCGGCCUUCGGGUUGUAAACCGCUUUCGCCUGUGACGAAGCGUGAGUGACGGUAAUGGGUAAAGAAGCACCGGCUAACUACGUG
RNAcentral lists this ribosomal RNA (468 nucleotides) under uncultured bacterium. RNAcentral describes it as "partial 16S ribosomal RNA". It matches the Rfam family "Bacterial small subunit ribosomal RNA", at positions 28 to 507 of the family's 1533-position model. The record is from RNAcentral.